GACGAACGCUGGCGGCGUGCUUAACACAUGCAAGUCGAACGGAAAGGCCCUGCUUUUGUGGGGUGCUCGAGUGGCGAACGGGUGAGUAACACGUGAGUAACCUGCCCUUGACUUUGGGAUAACUUCAGGAAACUGGGGCUAAUACCGGAUAGGAGCUCCUGCUGCAUGGUGGGGGUUGGAAAGUUUCGGCGGUUGGGGAUGGACUCGCGGCUUAUCAGCUUGUUGGUGGGGUAGUGGCUUACCAAGGCUUUGACGGGUAGCCGGCCUGAGAGGGUGACCGGCCACAUUGGGACUGAGAUACGGCCCAGACGCAUGCGGGAGGCAGCAGUGGGAAAUAGUGCACAAGGGGCGGGAGCCUGAUGCAGAAACGCCGCGUGCGGGAUGGCGGGGUUCGGGGUGUAAACCGCUUUCGCCUGUGACGAAGAGUGAGUGGCGGUAAUGGAUAAAGAAGCACCGGCUAACUAUG
Molecule: ribosomal RNA, 466 nt
Filed under: uncultured bacterium
Lineage: Bacteria
Description: partial 16S ribosomal RNA
Rfam family: Bacterial small subunit ribosomal RNA
Source: RNAcentral